This 451-nucleotide ribosomal RNA is filed under the name uncultured bacterium. Its description in RNAcentral is "partial 16S ribosomal RNA". It matches the Rfam family "Bacterial small subunit ribosomal RNA", at positions 28 to 507 of the family's 1533-position model. The record is from RNAcentral.
GAUGAAUGCUGGCGGCGUGCCUAACACAUGCAAGUCGAGCGGCAGCGAGGGGUGCUUGCACCCUGUCGGCGAGCGGCGAACGGCUGAGUAACGCGUAGGAAUUUGCCCCAAAGUGAGGAAUAACUGCCCGAAAGGGUAGCUAAUGCCGCAUAUGGUCUUCGGAUUAAAGGAUUUAUCCGCUUUGGGAGAAGCCUGCGUUGGAUUAGGUUGUUGGUAGGGUAAUGGCCUACCAAGCCGACGAUCCAUAGCUGGUCUGAGAGGAUGAUCAGCCAGACUGGAACUGAGACACGGUCCAGACUCCUACGGGAGGCAGCAGUGAGGAAUCUUCCACAAUGGGCGAAAGCCUGAUGGAGCAACGCCGCGUGAAGGAUGAAGUCCUUCGGGUUGUAAACUUCUUUUAUGAGUGAAGAAUAUGACGGUAACUCAUGAAUAAGCACCGGCUAACUACGUG